This 252-nucleotide ribosomal RNA is filed under the name uncultured prokaryote. Its description in RNAcentral is "partial 16S rRNA". It matches the Rfam family "Bacterial small subunit ribosomal RNA", at positions 525 to 775 of the family's 1533-position model. The record is from RNAcentral.
ACGGAGGGGGCAAGCGUUGUUCGGAUUUACUGGGCGUAAAGGGUCCGUAGGCGGUUGCGUGUGUCUGGUGUGAAAUCUUCAUCGCUCAACGGGAAGAGGCCACUGGAAACUGCGCAACUUGAGUAUGGUAGAGGCAAGCGGAAUUCCUGGUGUAGCGGUGGAAUGUGUAGAUAUCAGGAAGAACAUCGGUGGCGAAGGCGGCUUGCUGGGCCAUUACUGACGCUGAGGGACGAAAGCGUGGGGAGCAAACGG